GGAAUAUUGGACAAUGGGCGCAAGCCUGAUCCAGCCAUACCGCGUGGGUGAAGAAGGCCUUCGGGUUGUAAAGCCCUUUUGUUGGGAAAGAAAAGCAGCCGGUUAAUACCCGGCUGUCAUGACGGUACCCAAAGAAUAAGCACCGGCUAACUUCGUGCCAGCAGCCGCGGUAAUACGAAGGGUGCACGCGUUACUCGGAAUUACUGGGCGUAAAGCGUGCGUAGGUGGUUUGUUAAGUCUGAUGUGAAAGCCCUGGGCUCAACCUGGGAAUUGCAUUGGAUACUGGCAGGCUAGAGUGCGGUAGAGGAUGGCGGAAUUCCCGGUGUAGCAGUGAAAUGCGUAGAGAUCGGGAGGAACAUCCGUGGCGGAGGCGGCCAUCUGGACCAGCACUGACACUGAGGCACGAAAGCGUGGGGAGCAAAC
Molecule: ribosomal RNA, 423 nt
Filed under: uncultured bacterium
Lineage: Bacteria
Description: bacterial SSU rRNA
Rfam family: Bacterial small subunit ribosomal RNA
Source: RNAcentral